GAGAUGUGGCUCAGUGGUAGAGAGUUUGCCCAGCAUGCAUAAGGCCCUGGGUUCAAUCCCCAGCACUCA
Ictidomys tridecemlineatus (thirteen-lined ground squirrel) is the source of this 69-nucleotide non-coding RNA. Lineage: Eukaryota; Metazoa; Chordata; Mammalia; Rodentia; Sciuridae. The record is from Rfam.